RNAcentral lists this ribosomal RNA (253 nucleotides) under uncultured bacterium. Its description in RNAcentral is "partial 16S ribosomal RNA". It matches the Rfam family "Bacterial small subunit ribosomal RNA", at positions 524 to 776 of the family's 1533-position model. The record is from RNAcentral.
UACGGGGGGGGCAAGCGUUGUUCGGAAUUACUGGGCGUAAAGGGCUCGUAGGCGGCCAACUAAGUCAGACGUGAAAUCCCUCGGCUUAACUGGGGAACUGCGUCCGAUACUGGAUGGCUCGAGUUUGGGAGAGGGAUGCGGAAUUCCAGGUGUAGCGGUGAAAUGCGUAGAUAUCUGGAGGAACACCGGUGGCGAAGGCGGCAUCCUGGACCAACACUGACACUGAGGAGCGAAAGCCAGGGGAGCAAACGGG